CUGCAACUUAGUUUAUUUAGAACAGCCAACUUGCACUUGACAAGAGAGACACCUCAGUAGC
This 61-nucleotide transfer RNA is filed under the name Octodrilus transpadanus. RNAcentral's name for it is "tRNA-Ala". The record is from RNAcentral. Lineage: Eukaryota; Metazoa; Annelida; Clitellata; Crassiclitellata; Lumbricidae.